UUUCUCUACGUUAUCCAGGUGUGUUUAUAGCCAUGGCUCAUGUGGAUUCAGACUGAACAUAACUGGGAAGAAGCUGAUUCCUCUUACUCCUCAGUGUUUUCAGCGAAAGAAGAACAAUGAUGUUUUCUCUGUGCCCAUACCUCUGUUCUCUGGUGCCCUUGGAAGAUGGGGGCAUGGGAUGUUAAAAACUGAUGUGACCUUGAAGACCCAAGAAAAAAAUGCUUCAAGUUCCAAGAGGCAGUAAGCAGCAACCUUUUCAUAUUAAUUACUGCCCCUAGAAUACUG
RNAcentral lists this long non-coding RNA (285 nucleotides) under Ovis aries (sheep). RNAcentral's name for it is "lncRNA (ENSOARG00000025997.1)". Lineage: Eukaryota; Metazoa; Chordata; Mammalia; Artiodactyla; Bovidae. The record is from RNAcentral.